Molecule: ribosomal RNA, 548 nt
Filed under: Nalanthamala psidii
Lineage: Eukaryota; Fungi; Ascomycota; Sordariomycetes; Hypocreales; Nectriaceae
Description: LSU rRNA
Rfam family: Eukaryotic large subunit ribosomal RNA
Source: RNAcentral
CCCUAGUAACGGCGAGUGAAGCGGCAACAGCUCAAAUUUGAAAUCUGGCCCUCGCGGUCCGAGUUGUAAUUUGUAGAGGAUGCUUUUGGUGCGGUGCCUUCCGAGUUCCCUGGAACGGGACGCCAUAGAGGGUGAGAGCCCCGUCUGGUUGGACACCAAGCCUCUGUAAAGCUCCUUCGACGAGUCGAGUAGUUUGGGAAUGCUGCUCUAAAUGGGAGGUAUAUGUCUUCUAAAGCUAAAUACCGGCCAGAGACCGAUAGCGCACAAGUAGAGUGAUCGAAAGAUGAAAAGCACUUUGAAAAGAGGGUUAAAUAGUACGUGAAAUUGUUGAAAGGGAAGCGCUUGUGACCAGACUUGGGCUUGGUUAAUCAUCCAGCGUUCUCGCUGGUGCACUUGGCCGGCCCAGGCCAGCAUCAGUUCGGCUCGGGGGAUAAAGGCGUCGGGAAUGUGGCUCCCCCGGGAGUGUUAUAGCCCUUCGUGCAAUGCCCUGAGCCGGACUGAGGUUCGCGCAUCUGCAAGGAUGCUGGCGUAAUGGUCAUCAGCGACCC